GAUGAACGCUAGCGAUAGGCUUAACACAUGCAAGUCGAGGGGCAGCACAAGGUAGCUUGCUAUCUGGGUGGCGACCGGCGCACGGGUGCGUAACGUGUAUGCAACUUGCCCUAUACAGGAGGAUAACCCGUCGAAAGACGUACUAAUACUGCGUAUGCUCACAACUUGGCAUCCAGUGGUGAGGAAAGAAAUUCGGUAUAGGAUAGGCAUGCGUCCCAUUAGCUUGUUGGUGAGGUAACGGCUCACCAAGGCAACGAUGGGUAGGGGAACUGAGAGGUUUAUCCCCCACACGGGUACUGAGACACGGACCAGAAUCCUACGGGAGGCAGCAGUGAGGAAGAUUGGUCAAUGGGGGCGAGCCUGAACCAGCCAAGUCGCGUGAAGGAUGACUGUCUUAUGGAUUGUAAACUUCUUUUAUACGGGAAUAACAAGAGUCACGGGUGACUCCCUGCAUGUACCGUAUGAAUAAGCAUCGGCUAACUCCGUG
This 487-nucleotide ribosomal RNA is filed under the name uncultured bacterium. RNAcentral's name for it is "partial 16S ribosomal RNA". It matches the Rfam family "Bacterial small subunit ribosomal RNA", at positions 28 to 507 of the family's 1533-position model. The record is from RNAcentral.